This 465-nucleotide ribosomal RNA is filed under the name uncultured bacterium. RNAcentral describes it as "partial 16S ribosomal RNA". It matches the Rfam family "Bacterial small subunit ribosomal RNA", at positions 28 to 507 of the family's 1533-position model. The record is from RNAcentral.
GAUGAACGCUGGCGGCGUGCUUAACACAUGCAAGUCGAACGAUGAAGCCCAGCUUGCUGGGUGGAUUAGUGGCGAACGGGUGAGUAACACGUGAGUAACCUGCCCUUGACUCUAGGAUAAGCCCGGGAAACUGGGUCUAAUACUGGAUAGGAACGUCUACCGCAUGGUGGGUGUUGGAAAGAAUUUCGGUCAUGGAUGGACUCGCGGCCUAUCAGCUUGUUGGUGAGGUAAUGGCUCACCAAGGCGACGACGGGUAGCCGGCCUGAGAGGGUGACCGGCCACACUGGGACUGAGACACGGCCCAGAUUCCUACGGGAGGCAGCAGUGGGGAAUAUUGCACAAUGGGCGAAAGCCUGAUGCAGCGACGCCGCGUGAGGGAUGACGGCCUUCGGGUUGUAAACCUCUUUCAGUAGGGAAGAAGCGAAAGUGACGGUACCUGCAGAAGAAGCACCGGCUAACUACGUG